This 497-nucleotide ribosomal RNA is filed under the name uncultured bacterium. RNAcentral describes it as "partial 16S ribosomal RNA". It matches the Rfam family "Bacterial small subunit ribosomal RNA", at positions 28 to 507 of the family's 1533-position model. The record is from RNAcentral.
GAUGAACGCUGGCGGCGUGCCUAAUACAUGCAAGUCGAGCGAACAGACGAGGAGCUUGCUCCUCUGACGUUAGCGGCGGACGGGUGAGUAACACGUGGAUAACCUACCUAUAAGACUGGGAUAACUUCGGGAAACCGGAGCUAAUACCGGAUAAUAUAUUGAACCGCAUGGUUCAAUAGUGAAAGACGGUUGUGCUGUCACUUAUAGAUGGAUCCGCGCCGCAUUAGCUAGUUGGUAAGGUAACGGCUUACCAAGGCAACGAUGCGUAGCCGACCUGAGAGGGGGAUAGGCCACACUGGAACUGAGACACGGUCCAGACUCCUACGGGAGGCAGCAGUAGGGAAUCGUCCGCAAUGGGCGAAAGCCUGACGGAGCAACGCCGCGUGAGUGAUGAAGGUCUUCGGAUCGUAAAACUCUGUUAUUAGGGAAGAACAAAUGUGUAAGUAACUAUGCACGUCUUGACGGUACCUAAUCAGAAAGCCACGGCUAACUACGUG